CAUGGACGGAAGGCUGAGGGGCAUAAAUCUUACAAGUUGCUUUUCCGAGACCAGCCAGAACUAGCCCUAAACGAAGACACUGUGCGCUCGCUGCUGGCGGCUGUAGUCUUCUUAUUUGGAUUUCAACAAGUAGUCCCAGCCAGAGAAGCAUUAGAAGAUCAAGCCUCACAUCUUCUGGUCAUAGAAUUCCUUUCUGCAGGCUCCACUGCAGGCUCAGGCCGCCGCGUAACCUGAGACGCCUCGAUUUCCCAGUAGACAGCACAUUAAAGGGAGGUCUGCCGGCCAGCUGCAGAGACAGGAUUCGAGGAAAAGGAUUAUUUUCCACGAUUAGACUAAGGGCUGUUUAACACCAAUUACUAUUCCCCAUCAUUAACAGAAGAGAAUUCUGUUUGUGACUUAGGUCAUUCUUCACUCUUCCUCCUCGACCUGGCUCCCGCGAGGCUGCCUGGCUGAGUCCCAGACACACAAAAGCAGAGGUCACAGAGAUAAAUGUCAACUGUCAGAAGUGCCACAGAUGAAGGUGAUAUUCUUUUCUAAUGGUUUCUGAGAAAAGAGACCAUCAGAGUGAAAUCCAGUAAUCCCUCAUUUCUGAUUCCAUGCCUACUGAGACGCUCAAACUCGAGUGCAGACUUUGGUAAAGUACUGAGCGCUGAAAGGUAGUUCUGUCUCCUGAGGAAUCUGGAAUGAGAUCUAGUAGGAAGUUUCAUUCAAGUUGAAUGGAAAACAUAAAAGAGAGUGUUCUAUGGAACUCAGAAGUCUGGCAAUGAUGGAUUUACUCCAUGUGUGAAAGACCGGAGUAAGUGUUCUUCCCGCGUUUGAUUUAUUAAUUGGUUUAUUAAGAAAGUCCUACAAGUUAAUAUUUCACUACUCGUUUGAAUAUAGUUAUAAAAUCCUAAGUAGAGAGUCCGCAAAUCAAAUAGAAAUGGACACUCCAGUACCUAUCAAAUGAUGUUUUCACAUUUAUCUAUAUAUUUACCUAUAAUUGAAUAAUUUCCUAAGAAAUAGUAGUGUGCCUAAUUUGAGUAGAAUGUUGCAUUUUAGCUUUAUUUUUAAAUUUAAGUAGUUCUAAAGACAAUCCUGGGUUAAUUUAUGGGGAAAUUGUUAUUAUUCUCCUUCUUGGAAUAUGCCUGUCUAUCUCUAUGAAGUGAAAUGCACCCAUUUCUGAAAAGAUUCCUUUAAUAAUGUUCUCUCAUUUUAUGAGAUUCCAUGGCACCAUAGCAUGACUGAAUAAAUUAUCCUCUGGACAUAACCUAAUUUCCCAUAGUCCUAAUUCUGAAAGAUUUCUCAGAUUUUUUUUUCCAGUGGGAGAAAUAUUAUAAGAUUAUCAAAUUCAUUAUUUUGCUGAUGAACAAAAUUAUACCUGAACUGUCUUAAAAGUGCUUCUUUUCAUUAAAAAAAAAAAAAAAAAAGCUAUAGCGAAUGAAAGGCAUCUAUUAUAUAAUUCCCUGGAGUGGAUCCCUCUUCUUUUAACUCAGAUUUUCAGGAAGUUUGGAUUCCUCCAAUUCCAUUUUAAUGCCCCCCCCCCCCCCGCCAUUCUGUUUCAAUGGCAGUGAGGAACAGCUGGCCAGCAUCUUCUGUGAUAAUAACCUUCAUAUAGUGGAAACGCGAAUGGUUUUGGACAUGGUACUCACAAAAACAUCCCCCCGCGUGAUGUAGCUUAUUUGGUAUUUCCCCCUGUAAAUAGCUAGAUUCCUUAUAGCCAGCCCUUCCAGCGACUAUCAAAUUUUGGCUCUGUUCAGUAUAAUGCAAGCAUUUUCUGCCCCGUCUAUUCAGGAAUGUCUUCUGAGGAGGUUUCACAAUACAAUUUAUUGUGUUUAAUUUAUGACAUACAAUGUAAGAAGAAUGGAAUGCUUUUCUGUUAGGAUUUGCAUUGAUAAUUAAAGGUUACCAUAGUGCUGGUCCGCUUUUACCAAAUUUGCCAAAUUCUGAAGGGAAUGCCAAUUAGAAGGCAGUCAUGUUUCUCACUACAACAGAUUGAGACCAGUACCUGGUGGUGAGGACCCGUCACUUUUGGCUGGACCCUACUUCUAAUUGGGAAAGAAGGCAAAAGCUAGAUCAAAUAGUGUUUCUGAAGUGGUAUCAAUCAUUCCAAGUAAUAGCCACACCCCAAGAAGGCUGAGGAAGUGAUUCAGUCUUUCUGAGGUCAUCUUUUCUGGGGAUGGAGGUAGCCAAAAUUCUGAA
Lutra lutra (Eurasian river otter) is the source of this 2181-nucleotide long non-coding RNA. RefSeq lists it as uncharacterized. The transcript has 5 exons. The record is from RefSeq and is a predicted model, not a curated record. Lineage: Eukaryota; Metazoa; Chordata; Mammalia; Carnivora; Mustelidae.